UGUAAUCAUGGCAAAAUUUAUAGAAAGCUCAAAUUUGCUACCAAAAUUGCAUAUUUUGAGGCUGUUUCGUCUUUUUAAUUCUGUUAUCCCAUUACCCCGAUUAAGGAUAGUGUGGUAGCAAUAGCCCUAAAUAUUUCCCAUUCUCCAAAACCUAUAUUCGAUGUACUUUGGCAAAAUCGCUUCAAUUUUUGGACGUUGCCACAAGGAUCUCCAGAGAACAUUUUCUCUGAUCUUCAGAAAAGUUCAUCGCGGGCCAAAGGUAUGGUGGUGCUGGAAGAGUUCAGCACUGUUAUCAGCAACACAGGAACCGUGGAUCGCCACAUAUUCGAGAAGCUUCUGGCAACACAGUCUCGUAGUUCCUUUUUUUAAAUUUUGUAUGAAGGGAUCACGGGUUCACCGAGCAGUGUUUGGUGGAGGCGCAGCCUGAUUCAGUGAGCCCUCAAAUGGUGAAGUACACUACAACACUCAGCCUAGAGUCCAUUGUCGACAUUGAAGGUGUAGUUUCCAUACUAGCCGAACCUAUCAGAGGUACUUCAUAGCAGAUUAAUUUGGUUUGGUCUACUCACGCAUGAUCAGGGUUUUUGAUUUUCUAGCUUUUAAACUUGACGGAAGCUCUAUGAUUAUGCCAUUGUGUGGUUGGAUUGUGUUUUUUUUUUUUUUGGUAGGUGGAAGUUCAAGUGAAAAAAAAUUGUAUUGUAUCAAUAGGGCUGUCCCAAAUCUUGUAUUUAGUCUUGAGGAUGCUGCUAGGAGUGAAAUGGAAAUUGAAAAGGCUUUGCAAGUGCCUUGGAACAACUUGUUCGUGUUAAUCAGGAUACACGAUUAAACAAUAGGGUACUAGAUCUGCACACACCAGCUAAUUAUAACAUUUUCUGCAUACAAUCUGAAAUUGCAAAGUCUCAUCAGUUUUCUCUUGGGACAUUAGUCAAUGAGAACAUGGAAAGCACUUUUCAAAAUCACGGGGAUUCUCUUGACAGGACCACCGGGAACUGGAAAAACUCUGCUAGCCAAGGACUGUGGUUUAGCAAUGUUCAUAUCAGAAAAGUAAAAAAAAAUUGUGGGCUGCUGAGUUGGAUAUCUAUUGUGACACUGAAAAAUCCAGGGUUCCCAAACUCAAAGCUCCUCCUCCAGUGCCACUCUACAAAUUACUGUUGUGCCUCAUCAAACUGCACCUUCUGAUCCUUCUCAAAAUGACCAUGAUGUCUAAAAUCCUCCAAGGCCAAUUUAGUAGAUGCAAGAUACUGCUGCUCCUUAACUAGAGAGACGUCAACCAUGUUAUGGUCUCAGGUGCCAAAAGAGAUACGUGGCUUAGAAGUUGUGAUGCCCCAAACUGAGAUUCCAGAAUGGUUUAACUUUAGAGGCAAUGAAGGGAGUCCUCGUUUCUGGGCUCAUGGGAAGUCCAAGUUCCCCAUUGUUGCUUUAGCGUUGGUCUUUCAGGAUGUGAAUGAAAUGGCAAACCAAUCUCGCAGGAAACUUGUUCAGCUCCACUUGGUUAUCAAUUUUUAACACUUGUCAUGGGACAUUUAUGCCAUAUGCGCUAACCUUGUUAAAAAGUUAGGAUUAGAAUUUCUUUUCAGUAUUUUAACAUGCUUGUAAAAUACUUGCAUCUGCUGGGAUGCAUCCCUCAAGAUUUUAGCCUCAGAUCAUGACAAGCUUCUGAAAAAAGUUAUCAAAGAAUAUUCUAUGAUCGUUAAGGAUCUUAUCAAAUAUUUGUCUUUGUCCAUCUUUAUAGUUACAAG
RNA transcript from Gastrolobium bilobum, 1736 nucleotides. RefSeq lists it as uncharacterized. The record is from RefSeq and is a predicted model, not a curated record. Lineage: Eukaryota; Viridiplantae; Streptophyta; Magnoliopsida; Fabales; Fabaceae. The transcript has 8 exons.